AUGAGGAAAGCAGAGGUGAAAUCUCAGCAGGACCGACUGGUCCUUGGAGGGAGCCAGCAAAUGUCAGCUUGCGGGGAGGCAUCUCAAGGCCCAAAGGGUGGAUCAUGGGAAGGGCUUUGGGCAGAUGCUGCGGCCCUCAAGGCCGCAGUGUCUCUGUUCCUUAAGCUAGUGAAGACAUUAAUAUGCAAAACUGGACUCCAGGAGCUGGUCUUGUAUCAGCGCAGACAGCAGCGACCCAAGGCACACACGGACCUUGGACUUCGCUCUGGGCGGACUGCAGGAGAUCAGCCCAGCCUGGAUGCCCUCGCUGAUGGAGCAACUGGGACAAAUGAGCCGUGGCACCACGGCGUCCCCUUGCACCAGGGGCGCGACAGCUCUGCAUCACCGCGGCCCCUUCCCGCAGCCCGAGCCCCCACUAGCCCUCUGCUCCCGGAGGAGCAGUUCACUCUGAGGACGUGCUGGGCUGGAGGUGGAAAAAGGCACCGGGUGAAACCCCUCUGCGACCAGUCGCUGUUGCAUUGGGGUGGGCCGAUCCCCGCAGCCAUCCCUGAUUCCCGAGCCCUGGGUGGUGGCUGCUUCUUUACUUCUCCCAAAGUAAAGGCAAGGGAGCAGUUCUCGCACAUCACUGCAGCUUUCUGGUCGCGUGGAGCGCAUUUCCUCCUGCUGAUGGCCAAAGUCUCAACGUGGCUCUUCCUGCACCUUGAGGCCCCCGGGCAGCUCCUUCCCCGGGGGCAGCUCUGCGCCCGCUGCUGUUCCUACGCGGGCCUGGAGGACCCAAGCGUGGCGAUUCGGGGCGAGGGGCUGCGCUUCUGCGGCAGCCCGCUGUUUGCAGCGCCUGGCUCCGACCCCCGGGCUGGCUGCCCUGCGGGGGCUCGGCUGAGUCGCUGCUGCUGCUGCUGCCUGCUGCCGCAGCGCUCCACUUCUAUUUUCGUUUGCUUUGCUCCUUUGCCGCAUUGUUUCCUGUGCCGAAAGAGCUUCGGGAGGCCGUGUUGUGUCCGACCCCCGGGAACAACACCGGGCUGCCCCUCCGCCCCCCCCAGCUCCCCUGUGUAG
Molecule: long non-coding RNA, 1053 nt
Filed under: Apteryx haastii (Great spotted kiwi)
Lineage: Eukaryota; Metazoa; Chordata; Aves; Apterygiformes; Apterygidae
Description: lncRNA (ENSAHAG00000003040.1)
Source: RNAcentral